Molecule: non-coding RNA, 1264 nt
Organism: Pelodiscus sinensis (Chinese soft-shelled turtle)
Lineage: Eukaryota; Metazoa; Chordata; Testudines; Trionychidae
Source: RefSeq, a predicted model, not a curated record
GUCUAGGUCACUCUGGACCUGUCCCUACCCUCCAACAUACCCUACCUCUCUUCCUAUUUUAUUGUCAUCUGCCAACUUGCUGAGGAUACAAUCCAACCCCUCAUCCAGAAAGACUACUUUGAAUGCUGCAUUAAAUCUAGAGGACCGCAUAUGAAACAAGAGGAUAUCUGAUACAGUGUUUCGAGCAGAGAUUCAGGAUACAGCCUUCUGAAUUUUGUUCCUGCCUCAGUUAAUUCACUUGCUGAAAAAUAUGAAGGAGGCUAUGAUACAUCAUGAGCUGAGAAGACAUCUAGUAUGUAGAGGGACAAAAGAAGGACCCAUUGUUUUCCAUGUGUCAAACAGGACCAAAGACUAUUCAAAGCUGUCAAGGAGGAACUGGAACUACAGUAUUUUAUCACAGAGACAAGGUGUCUGGAAUUGCUGUGAGAGAAGGGACAACACAUAUGGAAGGAAAGGGAACCUACUUUCAAUGCUGGGAUACAGCAGCCUGAGUCUGAGCUUGGAGUUGGGGAAUAGGCCUCGAAGGCAACCUGAACAUGUGUUUUUAUGAGCCUGCACAUGUGAGAAUCUGCCAAGGGGAAAAAGGUGCCUUAAAUGAGGAUGAAGGAGCCAGGGCUGGAGGGGCAGAGAAAACAGAAUUCCUCGGAGUCAUGCAGAGUUUAUGUGAUACUCCCACUGCCUGCUUUUUUGCAGUGACACGGGGGUUCUGUUCAUGUUAGUAUAAAGAAGUGUGCUGCAGUGAUUCCUGGAUGAACUCCUGCCUCCCUUGAACUUGAAAGAAUAUGAAAUAUCCUGGGAGAGAGGUAAGCUUCCUAUCAGACACCUCACACUCUAUUAACUGCAAACAAUCAGGCUCCAGUGCUGCUGCUUGUUUGUGUUCACCUUAGGGUGGCUGACAUCUCCUACAUUGGCAGAUCUUUUACUUCCUUAACUUGUUUAUGAACCACAUGGGUUCUAUUCCUGCAAUUCACAGCCAAGGAUUAUUCUUGGAAGAGUUAACUUGGCAGUCAUUCCUGUGGAAGAACUAACCACUUUGUGUGUGUGUAUCUUUCUUGUAUUGAAAGCACCGGAUGGAACAUAAUGAUACAAUAAACCUCUGUCACAGAUACAAUGAAAGCCUCAAGUCUGAAUUCUCUGCCAACAUGAGCUGUCUUUAUUUUUUUGGAAAUGGAAGGCAAAAAGAAAACCUGGCAUCCUUAAACAAUUUUGUAAGUUCACAAAGUGCAGAGCCAGUGUAUGUCUGGAAAAGUCCCUCUUUCCCAAC